UAGAAUAUGUCAGAGGUGGGUAGCACUACACGUGUAGCAGUGAAUUGAGUAGAUAUGUGGAGGAAUAUCAAUGGCGAAGGCAGCCCCCUGGGAUAAUAUUGACGCUCAUUCACGUAAGCGUCGGGAGCAUACAGGAUGACAUACCUUGGUCGUCCACGCCGUAAACGAUGUCUACUAGUUGUUGGUGGAGUAAAAUCCACGAGUAACGCAGCUAACGCCUGAAGUAGACAGCCUGGGGAGUACGGUUGCAAGAUUAAAACUCAAAUGAAUUGACGGGGACCAGCACAAGCGGUGGAUUAUGUGGAUUAAUUCGAUGCAACGCGAACAACCUUACUUGUCCCUGACAUGUACGGAACUUUCCAGAGAUGGAUUGGUGCUCGAAAGAGAGCUGUAACACAGGUGCUGCAUGGAGGUCGUCAGCUCGUGUCGUGAGAUGUAGGGUUAAGUCCCGCAACGAGCGCAACCCUUGCCAAUAAUUGCCAUCAUUUAGUUGGGCACUUUAUUGGGACUGCCCAUGACAAAUCGGAGGAAGGUGGGGAUGACGUCAAGUCCUCAUGGCCCUUAAGGCCAGGGCUUCACACGUAAUACAAUGGUCGGUACAGAGGGUUGCCAACCCGUGAGGGGGAGCCAAUCCCAGAAAGCCGAUCGUAGUUCGGAUUGCAGGCUGCAAUUCGCCUGCAUGAAGUCGGAAUCGUUAGUAAUAGUGGAUCAGCAUGUGGCGGGGAAUACGUUCCCGGGCCUUGUACACCCCGCCCGUCACACCAUGGGAGUGGGUUUUUCCAGAAGUAGUUAGCCUACCCGUAAGGAGGGCGAUUACCACGGUAGUAUUCAUGAGUGGGGUGAAGUCGUAACAAGGUAACC
Molecule: ribosomal RNA, 861 nt
Filed under: uncultured bacterium
Lineage: Bacteria
Description: bacterial SSU rRNA
Rfam family: Bacterial small subunit ribosomal RNA
Source: RNAcentral